Molecule: ribosomal RNA, 465 nt
Filed under: uncultured bacterium
Lineage: Bacteria
Description: partial 16S ribosomal RNA
Rfam family: Bacterial small subunit ribosomal RNA
Source: RNAcentral
CCUACGGGAGGCAGCAGUGGGGAAUUUUGGACAAUGGGCGCAAGCCUGAUCCAGCUAUUCCGCGUGUGGGAUGACGGCCUUCGUGUUGUAAACCACUUUUGUAGAGGACGAAAAGUCUGUUGAUAAUACCGAUAGAUGAUGACGGUACUCUACGAAUAAGCACCGGCUAACUACGUGCCAGCAGCCGCGGUAAUACGUAGGGUGCGAGCGUUAAUCGGAAUUACUGGGCGUAAAGGGUGUGCAGGCGGUUUUGCAAGAUGGAUGUGAAAGCCCGGGGCUUAACCUGUGAAAGCCAUACAUGACUGUACGACUAGAGUGCGUCAGAGGGGGGUGGAAUUCCAAGUGUAGCAGUGAAAUGCGUAGAUAUUUGGAAGAACACCGAUGGCGAAGGCAGCUCACUGGGACGCAACUGACGCUCAUACACGAAAGCGUGGGGAGCAAACAGGAUUAGAUACCCGGGUAGUC